Bombina bombina (fire-bellied toad) is the source of this 186-nucleotide small nuclear RNA. RefSeq annotates it as U2 spliceosomal RNA. The record is from RefSeq and is a predicted model, not a curated record. The transcript has a single exon. Lineage: Eukaryota; Metazoa; Chordata; Amphibia; Anura; Bombinatoridae.
AUAUAUGGAUAUUUUCAAUAAAAAGAUAAUCUGUUAUUAUCCAUUUAAUAUCUGAUAUGUCCCUUUAUCUGGGGACCAAAUAUAAAAUGGAUUUUUGGAACAGGGAGAUGGAAGAAGAGCUUGCUCUGUCCACUCCACGCAUUGACCUGGUAUUGCAAUACUCCUCUCUUUUGCUGUGUGACAAAA